GACGAACGCUGGCGGCGUGCUUAACACAUGCAAGUCGAGCGGUAAGGCCUUUCGGGGGUACACGAGCGGCGAACGGGUGAGUAACACGUGGGUGACUUGCCUUUAGCUUCGGGAUAAGCCUGGGAAACUGGGUCUAAUACCGGAUAUGACCUCAUGUCGCAUGGUGUGGGGUGGAAAGUUUUUCGGCUAGAGAUGGGCCCGCGGCCUAUCAGCUUGUUGGUGGGGUGAUGGCCUACCAAGGCGACGACGGGUAGCCGGCCUGAGAGGGCGACCGGCCACACUGGGACUGAGACACGGCCCAGACUCCUACGGGAGGCAGCAGUGGGGAAUCUUGCGCAAUGGGCGAAAGCCUGACGCAGCGACGCCGCGUGAGGGAUGAC
This 380-nucleotide ribosomal RNA is filed under the name uncultured bacterium. RNAcentral describes it as "bacterial SSU rRNA". It matches the Rfam family "Bacterial small subunit ribosomal RNA", at positions 28 to 412 of the family's 1533-position model. The record is from RNAcentral.